UAGAGGACUGGUAGUAAGCCUAAAUUAAUAUUGACUAAAUUAGUACAACAAGGAUUGAAUUCUAUUAUUUCUAUUUCCAGUACUUUACCUAUUCAUGCUUAGAAUGGUAGGUUUUACUGUUAUGUGUCCUACAAGAGUAUUUAUAUAAAAGAGUAAGGUAGAUAUUUUCUAAUCCAUUAGGCUAACUUUAUUCUUUUGCUUAAAAGUAUAUUACUACUUAGUCUUCCUUGGUUAAACUGAGACAGUCAUGACUUCCAAUCCCAACACAUUUCCCAUAGGACGUAAUAAAUAGCUUUGUAGAUUAUCCUUCACUUUGACAUUAUAAGCAGAAUACACAGCAAACUCCACUAAAAAUUAUUAACUAUUCAUUAGCUCUGUCUUGCUAAUGAUAACUUUUGUUUGCAAAGAUGAACGCUGGCUGAUGCAGUCUUUGAUGUUCCUUGUUUACACUGUAUGUGCAUGGUCUCUAUCUGAAUAUGAUGUGCAGCAGGGAUAAUGUACAUAUGAGAACUCUCCAAAAAGCAUUGGGUUUAAAGUGAAAUAUUAUUUUCAUAUUUUAUUCAUCUCUCUAUAACUAAAUCCAUUUCUUGACUUUGAUUUUGGAAAGGUUCUCUGGCGUUAAUUGCCAUACAAAUAAGUGCUCUUUCUCUUAGGUAAGUGAUGUGGAGAAUAUUAUAUUACUGUUCCUUGCCUAUAAAAUAACCAGAUUACAGAAGUACUAAAUUUAAAAUAAAAAUACAGGAGUCAGAAGUGUGAGAUUUAUUUCUAUAAUAAGGUAACAUAAAUAAUGGAUUUUACCUUAUUACUGUAACUUCAAAGUUUUAUUAUUAAAAGUUGUCUAAAGGUUAUUAGAAGAUCUUUUGAGCCAAGCUAUCCCAACACGCCCCUCCUUAAAUUCCAGUAAAUGUCUGGGUCUCAUAAACCAACUGCAUUUUUAUUUUUAAAAAGCUGAAGGAAAAGGGGAAAAGUUUGAAGAAAUGAAGGGUAUUAGUAGAUUCUGUCCUCAACAAUACAUAACUAAUAGAACACGUACUUGGUGGUUGUAGGUUUGGAAGAGUGAUAGUGGAAAAGAAUAGAUUUGCUUUCUCCCCUCUUUCUCACUCUCAGUUUUUCUUACAGGUCUGUUUCAGUAGCGUAUCUCAUUUGAUCCUUAAAGUGCUCCAUUUUACAGUCCAGUAAGGGAGAAAAGUUUAAGAAGUGGAUUUCAGAAGACUUCCUUGUAUCAUUGGAAAGAACAAAGUAAACCUCUAACUAUGCCGCCACAUCUGUCCUAAAGAACUCCAGGAACACUGACCUGCUACUCAUAACUGAGGUAAGGCACCAAAAUAGCCUGAUAUUCUAAGGAAAAAUAGGCACCUUCAAGAGCAGAGAAGAUGAAAGCACUGACUUAACCUGUGGCAGAGCAUAAGAGGAAGGCAAGCUCACCACACAAGCAGGAUACACGUACUGGAUGACUAUCACAUUCCGUUGUUUUCUACUAAAUGGUGGCCUCUGGCAUAGAUAAGACGAACUGGAGAUUAUGGGAGAUUCCUCUUCUGACUGCAGUAUGUUACUCACCCACCCUUCUUUUAUCUCUACACACUCAGGGAAAUAUAUUAGAACUCAGGUGAAGAAACUGAGGCAGCAGAAAUGAAGGAAUUUGACAGACAAAGAUCAUAUAAGCCCUGAAGAUUCAGAAGUUGGAGGCAGCAGCAUAUACCUCUGAAACAGAGUGAAGGAUGGGGAUGAAAACAGAAGGAUUAGUUGAAAAUCUACACAAGAACAGUUAGAUUCUCAAAUCCCUUCUGCAGGGCUCAGUAGCAAGGAGGCUAUUUCUCCUGAUCCUGGCAGAGGACGGAAGUUUUCACAUUGUACAGACGUUGAAUUACAAACGCACUGAAAUUGGGUACGUCAGAUAUACUAAGUAUAGGGAUUAAGUGAAAACCUGCAUAUUGAGUAAUGAGACUCCUCCAGUCUUCUUUCCCUACUUGGCACCUGAAAAAAUUGGCAACUGACAACACAAGCAGAAAUAGUUUUACUCAAAGAAAAUUAUUGGGCCAAAAGGGAAGCUCCAUGGAUGCUGAAUUUGAUACACACCUCCAGAAAAUGUCUGGGGCCAAACACCGGCUCCCUAAAUGAGGUCCAUCAGUCCAACAAGGUCUUCCUUUUCACAGAAGAACUUUCAAUCAGCUUUGCAGUGCUUCAGUCUUAAAUAUGAAUAAACAGCAGACUGAUGAGGAAGUGCUCUAACAUGAAAGAUGAAGAUUAAAACAAAAAAAAGCAAUUUGCUUAGAAAAAAAUGCUCAAUAUGUGUCAAUAAGAACAAGAUGCUACAGAAAAAAUAUUUAGAGAACAAGAAAGAGAUAUUAGAAAUAGUGUUAGAAACAGAAAAUUCUGUAGAAGAAUUGGCAUAUAAAGUGAAGGAAAUUUCACUAAAAGUAGAAUAAUGUGCCAAGGAAAUGAAAAAUAAAAGAGAAAAGAUAAAAAAAUUUGUUACAGAACUUCUAGCAUUCCAACACCUACUUAACAGGAGUUCCAGAAGGCGGGAACAGAGAAAGUAGAAGGAAAGUCUUAUCAAAGAAAGAGGAUAGGCCAGGUGCGGUGGCUCACGCCUGUAAUCCCUGCACUUUGAGAGGCUGAGGCGGGUGGAUCAUGAUGUCAGGAGUUCAAGACCAGCCUGACCAACAUGGUGAAA
Piliocolobus tephrosceles (Ugandan red Colobus) is the source of this 2674-nucleotide long non-coding RNA. RefSeq lists it as uncharacterized. NCBI's taxonomy places the organism in Eukaryota, Metazoa, Chordata, Mammalia, Primates, Cercopithecidae. The transcript is spliced from 6 exons. The record is from RefSeq and is a predicted model, not a curated record.